RNAcentral lists this small RNA (28 nucleotides) under Bombyx mori (domestic silkworm). Its description in RNAcentral is "ovarian small RNA-26430". The record is from RNAcentral. Lineage: Eukaryota; Metazoa; Arthropoda; Insecta; Lepidoptera; Bombycidae.
UCCAAAAAUGGUGCUUGAGGAGUUCCAC